This is an RNA transcript of Homo sapiens (human), 2974 nucleotides long. It is a transcript of the gene named guanylate cyclase 2G, pseudogene, with no coding region annotated. The record is from RefSeq and is marked validated. NCBI's taxonomy places the organism in Eukaryota, Metazoa, Chordata, Mammalia, Primates, Hominidae. The transcript is spliced from 19 exons.
AUGGCUCUCAAACCAUGUCUUGAGGCCCCAAUUGAGUCUGGGCUCUGUUCAGGGAUUGAAUGUCAUGCUGAGCACCCAACACUAGUUCUGAUGCUCUUUGCCAGUGUGCUGGUGACUUGCCUUGAGGCUGCUAAACUCACCGUAGGCUUCCAGACCCCCUGGAACAUCUCCCAUCCAUUCAGCAUGCAAAGGCUGGGUGCAGGCCUCCAGAUUGCCAUGGACAAGGUCAACUCAGAGCUAGUGGACCUUGGAAAUUUCACCACUUACACCAACUCAGCCUGCAGCACCAAGGAGUCUCUUGCUAUUUUCAACAACCAGGUCCAGAACGAACAGAUUUCUGCCCUGUUUGGACCAGCAUGCCCAGAAGCAGCUGAGGUUAUCGGCUUGCUGGCCUCUGAGUGGAACACCCCAUGUUUGACUUUGUUGGACAAACCACAAAACUGUCUGACACCUGUGUGAAACUUGUGUCACCCAAGCAGGACAUUGGUGAUGUGCUCCAGGAAAGUCUCCAGUACCUGGGCUGGAAACACAUUGGGAUGUUUGGAGGCUACUCUGGGGCUUCCUCCUGGGAUGGAGUGGAUGAACUGUGGAGGGUUGUAGAGAAUGAACUCAAAUCCCAUUUUAUCAUCACUGCCAGCAUGAGAUACACCAACAAUAGUCUAGUCCUUCUUCAAGAGCAUCUUUGGAGGAUAUCAUCAAUUGCCAGGGUUAUCAUCUUAACGUGCAGCUCAGAGGAUGCAAAAAUUAUUCUUCUGGCUGCAGCAAACCUGGGACUCAGCACUGGAGAAUUUGUUUUCAUCAUUUUGCAGCAGUUGGAGGACCGUUUUUGGAAGGAAGUACUGACAAAUCAGAAAAUGAUGCACCUCCAAAAGGUGUAUGGGUCACUGCUUCUCAUUGCCCUCAGCUCCUACAGAAAAGGCCGUGGAGACGAAGGCUUUUGGAAACAAGUCUACCAAACACCGAGGAGGUCGCCCUUCCGCAGCACCAUCUCCUGGGAGGAGCAGGUGAGCCCUUACUCUGCCUACCUUCACGACGCCGUCCUGCUCUAUGCUGAGACCGUGAAGCAGGUGGUAAAGGCUGGAGGCGACUUCCAGGAUGGGUGGCAGCUGGUCAGCGCUCUGAAGGGUUCCAGUCAGACCACAGUGCAGGACCCACAGGGAAUUUCUCCAAUAUGACCUGGCCGCAUGGCUCCCUUCCUGAAGACAGACCUGGCUGUGGAUUUUAUAAUGAGCUCUGUGAAACUCAGUCUGCUUUUACGGGCGUGACUGCUGUGCUUCUGACAUUGAUGAUCCUCAUUCCUGUCUUGGGAGCUGCCAUCAUAGGUCUGAUUUUAAGGAUGCAGAGGCAAAACAAAGACAUCUGGUGGCAAAUCAAUUUUGAUGAUAUCACCAUUCUUCCCCAGAACAAGGGACUUGACCAUUAACUACAGGCCAAGCAUCAUACAAGCCAUCCCAGAGAGCCACACCUGUGUCAAAAGGCAUCAACAGUAACUCAUCUAGUGUGAUGAUUUCUGUGGACCUCAGCUCUUUUGUCAAGAGCCAGCAGUGGGAAGAGCUCUUCUAUGCCGCAGUAGGGCUUUAUCAGGGAAACCAUGUGGCCAUCCGUUACGUUGGUGACCAAGCAGAAGCCUGGGUUAGGAAGCCGAUUGUGCUACAGGAAAUACAGCUGGGCAUGCUGUUCCUCCACAGGAGCCCCCUGGGCUCCCACAGCAACCUGAAACCUUCCAACUGCCUGAUGGAUGGUCGGCUGCAGGUGAAGCUGUCGUGAUUCGGGCUGUGGGAACUCAAGCAUGGCUAAAAAUACAGAACAUAUGAUGAGACAGUGACCAACCACUCAGAGCUCUACUGGACUGCCCCAGAGCUGCUGCAGUUCCCGGAGAUGCCCUGGUCGGGUACCCCGCAAGGAGAUGUUUACAGCUUCGCCAUUCUGAUGAGGGAGCUGAUCUACCAUUGGGACCACGGGCCUUUUGAUGACCUCCACGAGGCACCGGAUGAAAUCAUCAACCAAAUCAAAGACCCUGCAGCAGCAGUCCCACUGCAACCUUCCCUGCCCGAGGAGAAGGGCAAUGAAAAGAUCGUGGCCAUGGUGAGGGUGUGUUGGGAUGAAUCUCUGGAGAAAAGACCCAGUUUCUCUUCCAUCAAGAAAACUUUACGAGAGGCCAGUCCCAGAGGUCAUGUGAGCAUACUGGCCAGUGUGAUGAGCAAGCUGGAAGUGUAUGCCAAUUACCUGGAGGAAGUGGUGCAAGAGAGGACCAGCCAGCUGACUGCAGAGAAGAGGAAGGUGGAGAAGCUUCUGUCCACCAAAGUGCCCAGCUUCACUGGAGAACAACUACUAGCCGGAAGGUCCGUGGAACCAGAACAUUUCGAAUCUGUGACAAUCUUUUUAUCUGAUAUUGUUGGAUUCACAAAGCUGUGUUCUCUCAGCUCCCCUUUGCAAGUCGUCAAGCUCCUCAAUGACGUGUACAGUUUAUUCGAUCACAUCAUCACAACUUAUGAUGUUUAUAAGGUUGAGACCAUUGGAGAUGCAUACAUGGUGGCUAGUGGACUCCCUACCACAAUGGAAGCCAGCAUGUGGCUGAGAUUGCCACCAUGUCCCUGCACUUCCUCAGUGCCACCAUCUGCUUCCAAAUUGGGCACAUGCCCCAGGAGAAGCUCCAGCUUCGUAUUGGCCUCUACACAGGUCCUGUGGUGGCUGGUGUGCUGGGGAUUACCAUGUCCAGAUACUGUCUAUUUGGAGACACUGUCAACAUGGCAUCCAGAAUGGAGAGCAGCAGUUCACCUCUCCGGAUUCAUGUCUCUCAGAGCACUGCAAGCACCCUGGUGGCAUUGGGAGGGUACGAUUUGCUAAAGAGAGGCACCAUUCCAGUCAAGGGCAAAGGAGAGCAAACAACUUUCUGGUUGAAAGAUAAAGAAGGCUUCACUCUUCCACUCCCGAAUUUACUGAGGAAAAAGCCAAAGUCCCAGAGAUAUUGUGA